Molecule: unclassified non-coding RNA, 391 nt
Filed under: Pentatrichia kuntzei
Lineage: Eukaryota; Viridiplantae; Streptophyta; Magnoliopsida; Asterales; Asteraceae
Description: partial contains 18S ribosomal RNA and external transcribed spacer
Source: RNAcentral
UUACCUCUUCAGUUGCUUGCCAAUGCUUGUAAAGUAUUGGUUGGAUUGUGGGUUUCAUGUGUUGCCUACCGAAUUGAUGGUAUCGUAUUCUUAAAGAAUUCCAUUUUUUCAUCUUAUGUCGCAAAUGCGUUGUGUGAUGAGAACCUUGAAGCAUUCUUUAUGGACCACUCUUUUAAUGCUUACGUGUUAAUCGUGUGGCUCAUUUUGAGUUGCUUGGUAUCAUGAUUAUGGAACUCGAUGGGGGCAUGGGAUGUUUAUAUAUCCCUUGGUUGCCCUGUCUUAGCGUUCUUGCUUCUCCAAUACGAUCGUUCAUCACGUAUGGCUUGUCCCAGCGUGGUGGAUUGCGUCGGAGAUGAAUGCUACCUGGUUGAUCCUGCCAGUAGUCAUAUGC